Molecule: long non-coding RNA, 305 nt
Filed under: Mytilus galloprovincialis (Mediterranean mussel)
Lineage: Eukaryota; Metazoa; Mollusca; Bivalvia; Mytilida; Mytilidae
Source: RNAcentral
CAGAAAAUUUGCACAUUCUUAAACCCUGUGAGGAAAAAUCCAAAAAUAGAUUCAGUCACUGCAGCAAUGGUUAGGGACCUACCAAAAUGGAAGCAAGCAGGACGUAAACCAGGGAUCAGCACACAUGGUGGCAGAAAUACCUUGAAGUAUUAAACACAGAUGAUCUAUCACUCCCUUCAGUACCAUUACCGACAUCCUUACCAAAAUUUCAGAUUCCUGCAGUAGAAAGGCCAUCUAGGGCACUGGAUCCCAACAUUUUGGAAGCCAUCAAUAGACAUAUUGUUCAGCUGCAGACUUCAUCAGAG